RNAcentral lists this long non-coding RNA (317 nucleotides) under Fukomys damarensis (Damara mole-rat). Its description in RNAcentral is "lncRNA (ENSFDAG00000025804.1)". Lineage: Eukaryota; Metazoa; Chordata; Mammalia; Rodentia; Bathyergidae. The record is from RNAcentral.
UCCUUUGACAGGCAAAGAGGCGCAUUGCAGGGAUUUCCACUCAAAAUAGAAUUUUCCAUAUGAGGCUUGCACUGGCCAGGCACAUCCCACCCCAAGACCAAGCAUAGUACUUGUGCUAAAGCCUAAACACUAUCUGUGCAGCAUGGGUUCCUUCUAAGGAUAAUCAUCGUUCCAGAAAUCCUGGAGAGUUUGGCCAAGAUUUGCAUUACUUUAUCCUGAUUUUUCUCUUCUUUGCUUGCGACAUCGAGGCAGCCACAACCAUACAAAAAACAACUAAAAAAAAAAAAAAACUAAAAAGACAAAAGACAACUGAAGAC